AGGAGAUUUGAGCAUUCAUCGAUCUCACCAUCCGAUUGUAAUCGUUAAACAGUGAUGAAAAAACUGGCUAUAUAUAGCGACCCUAAUUAGAACCCAUUUUUCCACAUAGCUCAGACAAAGCAAAUUGUAUGUUUGUAUCACUGUAUGCUUUCAGAAAAGUAUUUUAUCAUGAUGAAGAUCUUGCCAGCGCUCUUCAUUGCUUUCCUGUUGAUGUUAGCAGCUCUGCAAGCUGAUGCAGAAGUGCUCACCACCACGGAGCCUAAGGUGGCCAACCGUCAUCUGUUGAGUGAACCAUCAUCUCUCGGUCGAAAGGUAAGCGCUGGAGCUAAUGAUGCCGAGACGCCUACUUCAAACAACGGCAACAGUAACACGGAAACUAAAACUGGUAGUGGCGCUUCUGGCGACGACGACGACGACGAAACUAACCAAAGCUAUGGUAGAUAUGGAGGUGGGUCAUCUACUGAUACACACCACCAUUACACAAAUGAUACUAGACCACGUUAAGCUCGUUAAGCAUAUAUAUAUAUAUAUAUAUAUAAGUAUGUGCGUACAUAUAUUGUGUGGCUUUGCUUUGUAAUGUUAAUAAAGCGGAGACAAACAUGUUUCGAGACACGGAAACCACUAUAUGCGUGUGUGACACAUGUAUUGUUUCAUGUGAAAUAGUAAUUAGUUUCUACGUGAAGGUAUCUUGUGAGAUGCAAGUCUGGCUUUUAGGCCAAAAUUAUUAAUACUUGCAUGGAAAUAAAAAAGGCAUGGCAAGCUAGCUAUUGAUUAGCGCCAGUUUAUUAUA
Molecule: RNA transcript, 790 nt
Organism: Populus trichocarpa (black cottonwood)
Lineage: Eukaryota; Viridiplantae; Streptophyta; Magnoliopsida; Malpighiales; Salicaceae
Exons: 2
Source: RefSeq, a predicted model, not a curated record